Molecule: non-coding RNA, 191 nt
Filed under: Candidatus Microgenomates bacterium
Lineage: Bacteria; Candidatus Microgenomatota
Description: Microgenomates Gottesmanbacteria GlcN6P sequence
Rfam family: glmS glucosamine-6-phosphate activated ribozyme aptamer
About the family: This entry contains a glucosamine-6-phosphate activated ribozyme that is found in the mRNA for GlmS.
Source: RNAcentral
AAACUAUUAAAAGCGGGCUUGUCCUGAGCGAAGUCGAAGGAAUACGAGGAAGGGGGUCGCCGACGAGGCGACAAUCGGACUCCGCCCAAGGCGGAAGCAUCUGCGGAAACCCCUCGGUGUACUUCACAUCGAUAAAGAAAGAUUAAACCUGGUUGGUAACAACCAAUACAAAGUCUUAUCUUUUGAAGUCC